UGGACGCAUCACUGGUGUUCGGGUUGUCAUGCCAAUGGCACUGCCCGGUAGCUAAAUGCGGAAGAGAUAAGUGCUGAAAGCAUCUAAGCACGAAACUUGCCCCGAGAUGAGUUCUCCCUGACUCCUUGAGAGUCCUGAAGGAACGUUGAAGACGACGACGUUGAUAGGCCGGGUGUGUAAGCGCAGCGAUGCGUUGAGCUAACCGGUACUAAUGAACCGUGAGGCUUAACCUUACAACGCCGAAGAUGUUUUG
This 253-nucleotide ribosomal RNA is filed under the name Escherichia coli IS29. Its description in RNAcentral is "Large Subunit Ribosomal RNA; lsuRNA; LSU rRNA". It matches the Rfam family "Bacterial large subunit ribosomal RNA", at positions 2698 to 2925 of the family's 2925-position model. The record is from RNAcentral. Lineage: Bacteria; Pseudomonadati; Pseudomonadota; Gammaproteobacteria; Enterobacterales; Enterobacteriaceae.